UGGGGAAUUUUGGACAAUGGGCGAAAGCCUGAUCCAGCCAUGCCGCGUGAGUGAAGAAGGCCUUCGGGUUGUAAAGCUCUUUUAGUUGGAAAGAAAGAGUUGCAAUGAAUAAUUGUGAUUUAUGACGGUACCGACAGAAAAAGCACCGGCUAACUACGUGCCAGCAGCCGCGGUAAUACGUAGGGUGCGAGCGUUAAUCGGAAUUACUGGGCGUAAAGGGUGCGCAGGCGGUCUUGCAAGUCAGAUGUGAAAGCCCCGGGCUUAACCUGGGAAUUGCGUUUGAAACUACAAGACUAGAGUGCAGCAGAGGGGAGUGGAAUUCCAUGUGUAGCAGUGAAAUGCGUAGAGAUGUGGAAGAACACCGAUGGCGAAGGCAGCUCCCUGGGUUGACACUGACGCUCAUGCACGAAAGCGUGGGGAGCAAACA
RNAcentral lists this ribosomal RNA (427 nucleotides) under uncultured beta proteobacterium. Its description in RNAcentral is "bacterial SSU rRNA". It matches the Rfam family "Bacterial small subunit ribosomal RNA", at positions 355 to 774 of the family's 1533-position model. The record is from RNAcentral. Lineage: Bacteria; Pseudomonadati; Pseudomonadota; Betaproteobacteria.